GUGAACCUGCGGAAGGAUCAUUGUCGAUGCCUGUCCAAAACAGAACGACCCGCGAACGAACGAUCACCACUCGCGGUGGGCUGGUAUCUUAACAGAUCCCUUGCCCGCCGGAUCCGUGGUUUCGCGUAGCGUCUCGGUCGGGAGCUUAUCUCGUCCUGGUCCUGCGCGUUGCUUCCGGAUAUCACAAAACCCCGGCACGAAAAGUGUCAAGGAACAUGCAACCGAACGGCCGGCAUUCGCCUCCCCGGAGACGGUGUGUGCGYGAAUGCUGAGCUGCGAUAUAAAGUCUAAAACGACUCUCGGCAACGGAUAUCUCGGCUCUCGCAUCGAUGAAGAACGUAGCGAAAUGCGAUACUUGGUGUGAAUUGCAGAAUCCCGUGAACCAUCGAGUCUUUGAACGCAAGUUGCGCCCCAAGCCUUCGGGCCGAGGGCACGUCUGCCUGGGUGUCACAAAUCGUCGUCCCCCCUCAUCCUCUAUGGAGAGAUUCGGGACGGAAGCUGGUCUCCCGUGUGUUACCGCACGCGGUUGGCCAAAAUCCGAGCCAAGGACGCUUGGAGCGUUCCGACAUGCGGUGGUGAACUCGAUCCACUUUCAUUUCGUCGGCCGCUCUUGUCCGGAAGCUCUAGAUGACCCAAAGUCCUCAAAGCGAC
This 651-nucleotide ribosomal RNA is filed under the name Cusickiella douglasii. RNAcentral describes it as "eukaryotic LSU rRNA". The stretch from base 295 to 450 matches the Rfam family "5.8S ribosomal RNA". Lineage: Eukaryota; Viridiplantae; Streptophyta; Magnoliopsida; Brassicales; Brassicaceae. The record is from RNAcentral.